Non-coding RNA from Dermacentor andersoni, 2345 nucleotides. NCBI's taxonomy places the organism in Eukaryota, Metazoa, Arthropoda, Arachnida, Ixodida, Ixodidae. The record is from RefSeq and is a predicted model, not a curated record.
AAAAGUGAAAAAGUUUUGCGUGUAAAUGAACUUAUAUUUUGCAACUUAUUUUUGUUGCGUUGCCUAGCAACAAGCUAGCGGCACGCCAGACGGGCGUGCAUACGUCAUGCGCCAGACAAGCCGCAGGAGUGAGCGAGGCCGGCUGCGCAUGUGAAGCUCGCGUGCUCGGCGACCCGUCUCUUUUGGAUGUAGCCCGUUUUUUGGGCUCCCGGCGUUCUCUUGUGUUCCGUCUGCAUUUCGACACGGCACCGCUGCACUACUGGACUACAGCAAGCUGAUGGCAUCCGGUGGAGCUUCGUACGGCAACGAGUGCUGCUUACCUGGUGCCCCAACUUUGGAUGAAUGCUGAAGAAGCCCGGAACGAGUAUUUAUAUACAGCAAAACAAACAUUUCAGCAUUUCAGAAGAUGUCUUGCUUUUUCUUUAUGAAAUUGCACCUGACGGAUUCGGCGGAGUCUUGUUAAGGUCGUUCGCAAUCACUUUUACUAAAUAAUGAAACGAUUCCACGCCAAGGCCACGCGGAGUUCAGCAGAAGCGAAAAAAAAAAAAAACGCCGCGCAGGACAGCGGAGCCAGUGCGGCGCGUACCAACUGGUGUUCAAAACGCGCGCGCCCAAAACCAAAACCGGAAGGAGUUAAUACCAUCCGCUUGGUGUGCUACAGUCAAUUCGGCCGCUGGGCUCUGUGGGAAUGUCCGCUCCUGUUGAAAUUUCUUUCCGUAUGGACAAACCGCCGAAGCGAGAGAGACCGGCCGCGCAUCUGAGCGUUGGACUGUUCGGGCACCCGUCUGCCUGUUUUUCUAUUUUGGGAUUUAGCCUGGUUUGGUGGCCUCCCGGCGAAUUCUUGCGUUCCUUCGGAACUUCGACAUGGCGCCACUGCACUAUUGGACUACGGCAAGGUGAGAAACUCUGUUCGACAGUCUGCGACGCACUUCAAGCAAUUAGGCUUACUGCCCGGCAUCUAGGCUAGACUUGGUGACGCAGUUAACGAAAAACAGCGUGGCCGUCGUAGAGCAGUUAAUUUGAAUUAAUGAAUCGUACUGGGAGAUGUUUGCGACGCUUUCUGUGAGCCCCAAUAUUUAACUAAUUUCGGUAGUUUUUGGGCACGCUAGUCGCACAGGGUGCUGUGACGCAGUUUCGCGUGUACUGCAUUUUACUGCGGCAACUUUUGGCGCUUUCUCUGACUGCCAACAUUGUUGAAACUAAUUUCAUUACUUUUUGGGCUACCUUUCGAGCGCAGUGGGCGCGCCUGGCGCUGUGACGCGGUUAGCGAAAAGCAGCUCGGCCGUGGUGCGCGGUUUCGCGCUUUAAUGCACUGACAUGUUCAUGGCGCUUUCUCUGACGCCCAGCAUUGUUGAAAAUUAUUUUCGGUACUUCUAUGUUACCUAUGAGGCCCGCUCACCGCGCCUGUCGUGAGGCAGCGAAAAGCAGCUCGGCCGUGGUGACAAAGUUAGUUUGGCGCGUACUGAAUCUUACUGCGACAAGUUUGUGGCAAUUUUUAUAUCCCCGCAAUAAUUUAAGCCUUCUUUCGAUACCCACGCUUGUCGAAAACGCGACGUGCAAUCGUCAGGAGUGAUAACACAGGAGUGCGUUGCUUGCGCCUGCAGAAGGCGCAAGAGAUAAGCCAAGGAGCUCAAAGGCCAGGAACUAGCAACUCGAAAAUUUUGUCUUCUGAACGGCACCCACGCAUUUGUCUUGGGUGCGAGUAGAAGGAAUUGUGCGAGCGUCCAGCAUGGUCUGGUUGAGAGCCUGUGUUGUGGCCACCUCUGCAUUCGUAGCGUACUAUCGCGUCGGUUUAGCAAAGUUCGCGAAACGCACCGUAGCCCGCGCAUUCAUGCAAAUAAAGUGCAGGAAAUAAGUCCCGGGAAGAGGGGAAUGCUUGGAAUUAGAAUGUCUUUGCGGUAUGCACGGCAUUGUUUCGGAUGAGUCGGGUAUUUUGUACGCCGUGUGUGUAAAUACGAACUGCUUUUUUUUUUUGUAAUGCCGCCCAUUAACCACUUUCGCACGCUUCGCCUCUACACGCAUUAUUCUUACAUGUUAAUACCAAAAUAACACUUGCUUGUAAUUUCUUCAGCUCACGUCGUCUGGUGGAACUUCCUGCGGAAACUACUGCUGCUUACCUGGUACCACAACGUUGGACGAAUGCACAAAAAGCCCGCGACGAGCAUUUAUAAAGAAUAAAACAAACAUUUCCUCAUUUCACAAGGUGUCUUGCGUGUUUAUGAAAUUGCACGUGGCACAUUAUCGGUGGAGGCUUGUGAAGAUCGUUCGGAAUCGAUUUUGCUUAAUAAUAAAAUGAUUUCGCGUGAAGACCGCGCGCGAUUGAAGUGUAAAAGCAAAAAAAGAAA